This 8062-nucleotide long non-coding RNA is filed under the name Pelobates cultripes (western spadefoot toad). Lineage: Eukaryota; Metazoa; Chordata; Amphibia; Anura; Pelobatidae. The record is from RNAcentral.
GUUCUCUGUUAUAAUAAGCACAGUAUCCCUAAGCUCCUGUCCCUAGCUUGCAUCAGCAGCUCAGGGUUACAUCAUGGCCAGUGUAAAGGUUGCAGUAGUCACAGGGGGCAAUAAGGGGAUUGGGCUGGCUGUAGUCAAAGCCUUAUGCAAGCAGUUCAGGGGGGAUGUUUAUCUCACAGCCAGGAACCCCAAACUGGGGGAGGAAUCUGUGAGGGCCCUGGAGAAGGAAGGAUUGUCCCCCCUCUUCCACCAGUUGGACAUCACUGACAUACCCAGCAUCCAGGCUCUCAGGGAUUUCCUAAAGGACAAGUAUGGGGGCAUUGAUGUACUCAUCAACAACGCUGGCAUUGCUUUUAAAGGUGGGUAUGGCUGCCCUGACUGCCCCUGGGGUAACAGGAAUGAAUGUACUGUGCACACACUGCUGUCAGGUAGUAAAGAAACUACUCUACUGGGGACAGAAGAAAGUUCAGUUCUCAAAUGGUUAAUGCCAAUAAAAGGACAAAGAGCAUAUCUGGGGGGGAGCUAUAAUUCCCAUGAUGCUUUGCAUGUUUUUAGAAUGGCAAAGCAUCAUGGAAGCUGUAGUUUUAAAACAUCUGGGGAUCUACCUUUUGGGCACCCCUGCUGUAAAGUAUAGAAUAUUUGGUCACUCUAAGCGUCACACCUACUUAAUGAAGUUCAGUAGUUUGUUGUAGGUGGUUUUGUGCAUAGAUGUUGGCCCAUUUAAACAUGCAGUGUUAAAGCCGCACUAUCACUGUUUGUGGACUUUGUCGAAUUUGUAAAGCCCGUCAAUGGUGAUAUCGCCGCUGGGGUCUGGUCAUUGCUGCACUCUAGUACAUGCGCAAGAGUACAGCAUUGAGGUCUAUGGGGAAGACCGCGGGAUCCUCCAUAAACACAGCCAAUUCCCUACAGCCGUCAUGGAUGAUGGCUGCAGGGAUUGACAUUUAGGUUCUACCUUCUGCUUGAUACAUGGCCAGGGAGGGGGGCUCUCAUUCCUUGGUGGUCCAGUGGCAUGGGCUGUGUAGGAGGGGGGCUGGCAGCAAGCUGUAACUUACCUUUCCUGCAGAGAAGAAAUACAGAGACAGAGUAGUCCCUAGAAGGGAAGCAGCUAAAACAUUUUCGAGGGGGGAGGAAUACUAUUACAGUAAAAUAAAUAUAUUUAUAUUUAAUGUUAACAUUUUCCUUUUAAAAAAUGUAAUACUUUUCUAGAAAAUUAUAUGAGAUACUGUUAUUAUGAAUGACAAUUGUUAUAUUACCAUAGGUGACAAUAUUAAAAUGUGCACGUAACAAACAUUUUGGUGUUAGUAGGAUUGGCAUCUCACGUGGCAGUUAAUGCCAAGCAAAAAUAGAAAAUCAGUAUUGUCACUUUUCAUUACUAAAUCAGGGGUAGGUGACCUUCAGCACUCCAGAUGUUGUGGACUACAUCUCCCUUGAUGCUCUGCCUGAAUCGUUGCUUUAAGAGCAUCAUGGGUGUUUCAGUAUCUGAAAGGCUGAGGGUUGCCCACCCCUGCCCUAAGUAAUAUAACCACCACACCCUGCUGUGUCCUGGCACCAUCUCCAGUUAGUGUCAAGCUGCUUAGGAACUGUUUAAUAUAAGCAAUGUAUGUCCCAGAGAGACACAUUGAUAAGAUAAUACAUAACUCACAAUAUUUCAAAUAGACAAAGAGGGGCGCUUUCAUUUUAGGCCAAAGUCGGGGCUAUUGUGAGAAGUUUUAGGUGACUUACUAAUAACAAUUUAUAUAAUUACGAUGUAAUAUAGAACAAGAACUGAUUUUUUUUAUCGACAGACCAAUUUCUAAACACAUUUAUUGUAGUUUAAAGACACAUUACUGGGAGUAUUAUUACCGUGGAGCUCUGUUAUACACUCACACACAUUACUGGGAGUAUUAUUGCCAUGGAUCUCUGUUAUACACUCAGACACAUUACUGGGAGUAUUAUUGCUGUGGAUCUCUGUUAUACACUCAGACACAUUACUGGGAGUAUUAUUGCUGUGGGGCUCUCUAAUACACGCAGACACAUUACUGGGAGUAUUAUUGCCGUGGAUCUCUCUAAUACACGCAGACACAUUACUGAGAGUAUUAUUGCUGUGGAGCUCCGUUAUACACUCAGACACAUAACUGGGAGUAUUAUUGAUGUGGAGCUCUGUGAUACAGUCAGAUACAUUACUGGGAGUAUUAUUGCUGUGGAACUCUGUUAUACAUUCAGACACAUUACUGGGAGUAUUAUUGCUGUGAGGCUCUGUUAUACACUCAGACACAUUACUGGGAGUAUUAUUGCCCUGGAGCUCUGUUAUACACUCAGACACAUUACUGGGAAUAUUAUUGCCGUGGAGCUCUGUUAUACACUCAGACACAUUACUGGGAGUAUUAUUGCUGUGGGGCUCUGUUAUACACUCAGACACAUUACUGGGAGGAAUAUUGCUGUGGGGCUCUGUUAUAAACUCAGACACAUUACUGGGAGUAUUAUUGCCGUUGAGCUCUGUUAUACACUCAGACACAUUACUGGGAGUAUUACUGCUUUGAAGCUCUGUUACACACUCAGACACAUUACUGGGAGUAUUAUUGCUGUGGAGCUCUGUUAUACACUCAGACACAUUACAGGGAGUAUUAUUGCUGUGGAGCUCUGUUAUACACUCAGACACAUUACAGGGAGUAUUAUUGCUGUGGAGCUCUGUUAUACACUCAGACACAUUACAGGGAGUAUUAUUGCUGUGGUGCUCUGUUAUACACCCAGACACAUUGCUGUGAGUAUUAUUGCUGUGGAGCUUUGUUAUACACCCAGACACACCAGCAACACAGAGCUCCUAGAAAAGAUGCACAUUAAAUGCAUUUUCUCUGAAAAGACAGUGUUUACAGCAAAAAGCCUGACGGUAAUGAUUCUACUCACCAGAACAAAUUCAAUAAGCUGUAGCUGUUCUGGUGACUAUAGUGUCCCUUUAACAGUUUGAGUGACUGUGGAAAGGAUGCCCAUUUAUAACAGUAAUUGCUGCCUUAAGAAGCAGGCUGGUUGCCCUGGUCCCUUUAACAAUUUUUCAUAAAUUUUCACAUUUCACUGCCAAUUCACCUCUAUUCUGUAGUGUGAAGUGUUUAGCAGUAAGCCUGGUCAGUAUGCAGGCAGUCAGACUUCAUUCUGAAUAUCAAGGUAACUACUGGCAAUUUCCUACCCAAUAAUUUUGCUUAUGGCCACUUUCAGAAUUUAAAGCAGCACUGUCACUGUCUGGGGACUUUGCCACUGGGGGUCCAGUGGCUGAAAGGGGGCAGGUAAAGGUCAGAUUAAAUUACGUAGAGCUAUCCUUCGCGGGCGUGGCCAUCUUGAUCCAGCAGGUCUUCUCCAGUUAAUGGCACUUCAGUGCCAACUGGUGUACUUUACUCUAAUUCCACCACUCCUCCUGCAGGCCCCCAGCAGCUUGUAUAGUAAAAUGGGGGCAAAGCACACGCGAUCUUCAGCUUCUAGAAGCUCUUUCCAACUCUCUCGAGCCACAGCCACUACACACAUCUUCCACAAGACACACCCACCCUUGGCAUCCACUACACACACAGAUACACUGUAUCCGCUGCGGGCAAACUCUGGGUUGUGUCAAAUGUCUGAUGGCAUCUCUGCAAUGUUCUUGUAACUUAUUCUAAUAAAAUUCUGGUAUUUAUUUUUUGCUACCAGUUGCUGACACUACUCCAUUUGGUACCCAAGCUGAAGUCACAAUGAAAACCGACUUCUAUGGCACUAGAGAUGUUUGCAAGGAACUGCUGCCAUUAAUUAAGCCACACGGUGAGAUUACCAGAAUUGCUUAAUCACAUAGUAAGAUAUGUUGAAAAGAGAUUUAAAUGCCAACUACAGUUGCAAGAAAAGGUAUGUGAAUCCUUCGGAAUGAUAUGGAUUUCUGCACAAAUUGGUCAUAAAAUGUGAUCUGAUCAUCAUCUAAGUCACAACAAUAGACAAUCACAGUCUGCUUGAACUAAUAACACACAAAGAAUGAAAUGUUGCCAUGAUUUUAAUAAACACACCAUGUAAACAUUCACAUGACAGGCGCACAGUCGGAUUUGCCGGCAUAUGCGCUAACCUUACCCAAACCCCAAUUAAGACACGGACACAGGUUAUACUGUUGGAAAUAAUUUGUCCACAGCUUUAUUAAAUUAUUAAUAAAAUAAUUAAGGAACAAAUGGGGUCAUUGCCAACAAAUCUUAAUAAUGUUAACCUCCCCCAUAUACAUAACAUACCCCUAGCAAUGACCCCACAAUAAUAACAAUAGAUAACAAUCUAAAUAACAUGUUAACACAGAAACUGGCCGUCCAAUUUGACCACAUUUCCACCAGGUUAAAUUGUAGGGGUGUACCGAGACACCGCUACCCACCAUAUCGAUUGUAGGGGUGUACCAAGACACCGCUACCCACCAUAUCCAUUGUAGGGGUGUACCAAGACACCGCUACCCACCAGUUCCAGUGUAGGGUGUACCAAGACACCACCACACCCCCAGGUUCGGAGCCACCGACGGGCUCGAACCUACCAACCACGUGCAACACUGCCCAAUCCACACUAAACCUCAGGAUGCCCACUUUCUCCUCCAUCUACCCUCCGAUUUAACCAGGCCAUUCCCCGCCGCUGUGAAAAAACGGGAAAUCAACUAACCUAACCAAAUACAGGGAGGGUGGGAGGGACAACUGACAGGUAAGCUUAGGUUCAGUUAAAAUGGCCACUUCAUAUAAUGGCUGGUAUAAAUACUCCCCUUAUGGCUCCGCCCUACCCAGCAUGCUAGCUGUCACUAAAUUCCUGUGGCUGCUAUGCCUACCUCCUGGCUCUGUCAAGGCCUAUUCCUCUUAGCUGCGCUGAUCCAUGGGCUACAGUGCAGGUGGAAAAAGUAUGUGAACCCUUGGAUUUAAUAAUUGGUUGAACCUCCUUUGGCAGCUAUAACUUCAACCAAACAUUUCCUGUAGUUGCAGAUCAGACGUGCACAACGGUCAGGAGUAAUUCUUGACCAUUCCUCUUUACAGAACUGUUUCAGUUCAGCAAUAUUCUUGGGAUGUCUGGUGUGAAUCGCUUUCUUGAGGUCAUGCCACAGCAUCUCAAUCGGGUUGAGGUCAGGACUCUGACUGGGCCACUUCAGAAGGCGUAUUUUCUUCUGUUUAAGCCAUUCUGUUGUUGAUUUACUUCUAUGCUUUGGGUCAUUGUCCUGUUGCAACACCAAUCUUUUGUUGAGCUUUAGCUGGUAGACAGAUGGCCUUAAGUUCUCCUGCAAAAUGUCUUGAUAAACUUGGGAAUUAAUUUUUCCUUCGAUGAUAGCAAUCCGUCCAGGCCCUGACGCAGCAAAGCAGCCCCAAACCAUGAUGCCUCCACCACCAUACUUCACAGUUGAGAUGAGGUUUUGAUGUUGGUGUGCUGUGCCUUUUUUCCGCCACACAUAGUGUUGUGUGUUUCUUCCAAACAACUCAACUUUGGUUUCAUCUGUCCACAGAAUAUUUUGCCAGUACUGCUGUGGAACAUCCAGGUGCUCUUGUGCAAACUGUAAACGUGCAGCAAUGUUUUGUUUGGACAGCAGUGGCUUCCUCUGUGGUAUCCUCCCAUGAAAUCCAUUCUUGUUUAGUGUUUUACGUAUUGUAGAUUCGCUAACAGGGAUGUUAGCAUUUGCCAGUGACUUUUGUAAGUCUUUAGCUGACACUCUAGGAUUCUUCUUCACCUUAUUGAGCAGUCUGUGCUGUGCUCUUGCAGUCAUCUUUACAGGACGGCCACUCUUAGGGAGAGUAGCAGCAGUGCUGAACUUUCUCCAUUUAUAGACAAUUUGUCUUACCGUGGACUAAAGAACAGCAAGGCUUUUGGAGAUACUUUUAUAACCCUUUCCAGCUUUAUGCAAGUCAAAAAUUCUUAAUCGUUGGUCUUCUGAGAGCUCUUUUGUACGAGGCAUCAUUCACAUCAGGCAACGCUUCUUGUGAAAAGCAAACCCAGAACUGGUGUGUGUUUUUUAUAGGGCAGGGCAGCUGUAACCAACACCUCCAAUCUCAUCUCAUUGAUUGGACUCGAGUUGGCUGACAUCGCUGUGAUUGUCUAUUGUUGUGACUUAGAUGAUGAUCAGAUCACAUUUUAUGACCAAUUUGUGAAGAAAUCCAUAUCAUUCCAAAGGGUUCACAUACUUUUUCUUGCAACUGUAUGAUGUUGAUACAAAAGAAGGUAAAAAAAAAAAAAAAGUGAUUCCCAAAUGUGCCACAAAAUGGGGGGAUAAUAUUUUACUUCAAAUAGCAAUUUGAUUUCUUCUUAGAUCAAAAUUUGUUAUAUCAUAUAUUGGAGUACUACAGCCAUUUCUUUGGAUUUCUAAUAUUAUGUUUACUUAUUCCAUGUACUUAGCAAAUGUAUGUUUGAGAAGUGCAUAAAAUUAAAAUACAUUUAGAAAUCUAGAAAUACAUCUAUGUCCUGUAACUGGGCGCCUCCAUCUUAGCUCCCUGUCAGUCAUUGUUAUAAGCGUUGUCCUUUGCACCUGGCUGUCACCAUAGAGAAAGUAUACAGAGAGAGAAGAAAUAUACAAUUCUUGUGCUUCUCCUCAUUUGCAUUGGGUGCCCUGGCUGUGCCUUGACUGAAAUGGAUUGUGAAGCCAUUUACUUAAUCUUAGCUAUAAGCUGAAAAUAAAACAGAACAUCACAUAAAAACGUUACAGGAGUACUUUAUUGGAAAUGUAUUUAUAUAUUUUUAACUAUUUAGUAGAUAUUCCCUCUCCCUCACCUCCCCCGAGGAAAUAUGCAUGUAUUUGUCUCCAUAUGGUUUCUGUGGGGGGGGAUAUUAAAACCAGCUUUGCAAGCUCUCUGCCUUUUUCCUGGCACAGACUUUCUCUGGCUUUGCAGAGAUUGGUCAGAGCUUAUCUGAGGAGAGUUAGCUUAAGCAAAUCCCAUGCAGAGAUCAAACUGCUAUAGUGGUUAUGGUGUUUGGAAUGUUCCUUUAAUGAUUGGUCUGUGAUAAUCCUUUGGAAAUGUGAAUCUUGUUGGUUAAGCACAUGCUGAAAUUAAUUUCAGAGGUGAUGGUGCACAGAGAUCCCUGUGCCUCCUCUUACCGCUGAGAGUGGUGUAGAACUGCAUUAAUGUUACUAAAAUAAUAAAUGUUUCUGUUCCCUUAGGGAGAGUGGUCAAUGUGUCCAGCAUGAUUAGCUACGAUUCUUUGGGACAUUGCAGUCCAGAGUUACAGAAGGUCUUUCGCAGUGAGUCGAUCACAGAGGAGGAACUGGUCAAACUUAUGGAAAAGUUUGUAGAAGAUGCCAAGCAAGAUGUACAUCAAAAAGAAGGCUGGCCAAACACUGCUUACGGAACAUCUAAAAUAGGAGUGACCGUGCUCUCCAGGAUCCAAGCAAGAGAGUUAGACGCAACAAGGAAAGGGGAUGGAAUCCUACUUAAUGCCUGUUGUCCAGGGUGGGUGAGGACUGAUAUGGCGGGUCCAAAUGCUCCAAAGUCUCCAGAUGAAGGUGCCGAGACCCCAGUUUAUCUGGCUCUCCUGCCGCCUGAUGCAACGGCACCUCAUGGGGAGCUAGUUAGUGAAAAGAAAGUGGUGAAGUGGUAACAAUAUGUGUUGGCUUACUAGUGGGUCAAAUGAGCUUUGGAACUACAUCGUUUAUAUGCUAAUUCCCAUAAAAUUUUAUCAGCCACUUCGUGUGUUCAUGCCUGCCUUUAUUUGUUUAUGCGUGCUGCAGUCAAUUAUUGUUUGAUUGCCUUUUUGCUAGUUUUACAAAACAUCCUUGCCUCUACUCAUUGCUCUUUGAUUUGUAUAGUUUUUUGUCUUGUUUUUAAUUUUUUCAUAAAAAAUAAAGAAUACUUAAAACAGUGUUUUGAUUGUGAAUUAACAUUUUGUAUAUUGGGCAGCCCCUAAAAAUAAAAAAAAUUCAAGUCUAUUUAAAGGGACACUAUAGUCACAGAACAACCACAGCUUAAUUUGGGUGUAUAGGUCAUGGCCCUGCAGUGUCACUACUCAAUUUUCUGCCAUUUAGAAUUUAAAUCUCUUUGUUUAUGCAGCACUAGUCACACCUCCCUGCAUUUGUCUUGCACAGCCUUCCUAAACACUUCCUGUAAAGAGUUGUCUAAUGUUUACACUUCCUUUAUUGCAA